CUACGUGCCAGCAGCCGCGGUAAUACGGAAGGUCCAGGCGUUAUCCGGAUUUAUUGGGUUUAAAGGGAGUGUAGGCGGUCUGUUAAGCGUGUUGUGAAAUUUAGGUGCUCAACAUUUAACUUGCAGCGCGAACUGGCGGACUUGAGUGCACGCAACGUAUGCGGAAUUCAUGGUGUAGCGGUGAAAUGCUUAGAUAUCAUGACGAACUCCGAUUGCGAAGGCAGCGUACGGGAGUGUUACUGACGCUUAAGCUCGAAGGUGCGGGUAUCGAACAGGAUUAGAUACCCUGGUAGUCCGCACGGUAAGCGAUGGAUGCCCGCUGUUAGCGCCUGGCGUUAGCGGCUAAGCGAAAGCAUUAAGCAUCCCACCUGGGGAGUACGCCGGCAACGGUGAAACUCAAAGGAAUUGACGGGGGCCCGCACAAGCGGUGGAGUAUGUGGUUUAAUUCGACGCAACGCGAAGAACCUUACCAGGGCUUGACAU
This 483-nucleotide ribosomal RNA is filed under the name uncultured bacterium. RNAcentral describes it as "bacterial SSU rRNA". It matches the Rfam family "Bacterial small subunit ribosomal RNA", at positions 501 to 987 of the family's 1533-position model. The record is from RNAcentral.